Molecule: ribosomal RNA, 254 nt
Filed under: uncultured prokaryote
Description: partial 16S ribosomal RNA
Rfam family: Bacterial small subunit ribosomal RNA
Source: RNAcentral
UACGGAGGAUGCGAGCGUUAUCCGGAUUUAUUGGGUUUAAAGGGUGCGUAGGCGGCUUUUUAAGUCAGCGGUGAAAUUUUGCAGCUUAACUGUAACAGUGCCGUUGAUACUGGGGAGCUAGGAUUUGCUUGCUGUGGGUGGAAUGUGUGGUGUAGCGGUGAAAUGCUUAGAGAUCACACAGAAUAUCGAUUGCGAAGGCAGCUCACAAAGCCAAGAUUGACGCUGAGGCACGAAAGUGUGGGGAUCAAACAGGA